Molecule: ribosomal RNA, 253 nt
Filed under: uncultured bacterium
Lineage: Bacteria
Description: partial 16S ribosomal RNA
Rfam family: Bacterial small subunit ribosomal RNA
Source: RNAcentral
UACGUAGGGGGCAAGCGUUGUCCGGAUUUAUUGGGCGUAAAGAGCGUGUAGGCGGCCUGAAAGGUCAGCUGUGAAAACUCGAGGCUCAACCUCGAGACGUCGGUUGAAACCAUCUGGCUAGAGUCCGGAAGAGGAGAGUGGAAUUCCCGGUGUAGCGGUGAAAUGCGUAGAGAUGUGGAGGAACACCAAUGGCGAAGGCAGCCUUCUGGGCCAACACUGACGCUCAUGCACGAAAGCGUGGGGAGCAAACAGG